CAUUGGGAAGAAGGCGGGCAGAGGCCCGAGGGUGCAGCGCACAUGCAGCCAUGCCGGCCGCCCUGGCCACGCCGCGGCGGUUCUCCCGCGACCCAAUGAGCCGGGUCGUCAUCUCAGUUCUCACGUCCCGGCCGAUGGAUGCUGCGUCCGCAUUCGGCUCAAGGUUAGAUGUCCUAUUUUGAAUAAGACGAACCCGUAGACAUAUCAUCAGUGUUAAAUAGAAAAAAGAAAUAUUAGGACUAGUUUGGGCAGUUCAUCUAGGGGUUGGAUUAAAGUUUUUUUUUCUCCUCAAUACAUACAUAGGAUGAUGGUGAGCAUGGGCCGUGCAU
This 329-nucleotide long non-coding RNA is filed under the name Oryza brachyantha (malo sina). Its description in RNAcentral is "long non-coding RNA (OBRA_LNC000889)". Lineage: Eukaryota; Viridiplantae; Streptophyta; Magnoliopsida; Poales; Poaceae. The record is from RNAcentral.